Molecule: ribosomal RNA, 551 nt
Filed under: uncultured bacterium
Lineage: Bacteria
Description: bacterial SSU rRNA
Rfam family: Bacterial small subunit ribosomal RNA
Source: RNAcentral
AACGCGAAGAACCUUACCUGGGCUUGACAUACACCGGAUUGGGCUAGAGAUAGUCUUUCCCUUUGUGGCUGGUGUACAGGUGGUGCAUGGUUGUCGUCAGCUCGUGUCGUGAGAUGUUGGGUUAAGUCCCGCAACGAGCGCAACCCUUGUCUUAUGUUGCCAGCAUUUGGUUGGAGACUCAUGAGAGACUGCCGGGGUCAACUCGGAGGAAGGUGGGGAUGACGUCAAAUCAUCAUGCCCCUUAUGUCCAGGGCUUCACACAUGCUACAAUGGUCGGUACAACGCGCAGCGACACUGUGAGGUGGAGCGAAUCGCUGAAAGCCGGCCUUAGUUCGGAUUGGGGUCUGCAACUCGACCCCAUGAAGUCGGAGUCGCUAGUAAUCGCAGAUCAGCAAUGCUGCGGUGAAUACGUUCCCGGGCCUUGUACACACCGCCCGUCACGUCAUGAAAGUUGGUAACACCCGAAGCCGGUGGCCCAAACUUGUUAGGGAGCCGUCGAAGGUGGGAUCGGCGAUUGGGACGAAGUCGUAACAAGGUAACCUUAAUUAAAA